CUGAUUUGGAAAUAUAAUGGAUUUGUUGUCAUUGCAGAAUCAUUGGAGGAUUUUAUUAAAGGUGCCGUUUUCCAGAUACUGGAAAUGCUCAAGAUCAAAUAUUUAUGAUUCAGCUUGUAGCUGUUUCCCCUAGACGGACAUCCACGCAGAACAACAUUAUUUCUAGGCCGAUCUGCCUCGGGACGGCUAGUGGCCUCUUCAAAUGGAGGGUAUUUGCAUCAAGCAGGAAUCAUAAAAUCAGAGACCUCUGUGGGGCUCUGAGCCAAUCCCUACGUUUCCAGAAAGAAGCCGAGAUGUGGA
Balaenoptera ricei (Rice's whale) is the source of this 300-nucleotide long non-coding RNA. RefSeq lists it as uncharacterized. The transcript is spliced from 3 exons. The record is from RefSeq and is a predicted model, not a curated record. NCBI's taxonomy places the organism in Eukaryota, Metazoa, Chordata, Mammalia, Artiodactyla, Balaenopteridae.